This 253-nucleotide ribosomal RNA is filed under the name Duodenibacillus massiliensis. RNAcentral's name for it is "partial 16S ribosomal RNA". It matches the Rfam family "Bacterial small subunit ribosomal RNA", at positions 524 to 776 of the family's 1533-position model. The record is from RNAcentral. Lineage: Bacteria; Pseudomonadati; Pseudomonadota; Betaproteobacteria; Burkholderiales; Sutterellaceae.
UACGUAGGGUGCGAGCGUUAAUCGGAAUUACUGGGCGUAAAGCGUGCGCAGGCGGUUGGGUAAGACAGAUGUGAAAUCCCCGGGCUUAACCUGGGAACUGCAUUUGUGACUGUCCGACUGGAGUAUGUCAGAGGGGGGUGGAAUUCCAAGUGUAGCAGUGAAAUGCGCAGAUAUUUGGAAGAACACCGAUGGCGAAGGCAGCCCCCUGGGGCAAAACUGACGCUCAUGCACGAAAGCGUGGGGAGCAAACAGG